Non-coding RNA from Danio rerio (zebrafish), 951 nucleotides. The record is from Ensembl. NCBI's taxonomy places the organism in Eukaryota, Metazoa, Chordata, Actinopteri, Cypriniformes, Danionidae.
GAAAAAGAGAAUGAAGAUGAUGGAGGAACAACAGAUUCAGGAGAAAGAGACCAUGAAGAUGGAGAAACGACAGAAUCCGGUGAAAGUGAGAAUGAGAAGAGAAGAAGAGUUCAUACAGAGAAAAGAGGGAAACGAAAUGCUUGAAAUAAUGAAAUUGGAGGGAAUUAAGAAACCGAAACCAGAGGAAAGACUGAAAAGAAGAGAAGAAAAACAGUUAUCUGAACUUUACAGGAGACACGAAAGUCCAGUUACUGGAUUCACACCAGUUUGUAUGUUAUCCUCGCUGGGAGAAAGAGGUGCUGGGAAAAGUUCAUCAGAAGAAACAUUCUUGCGUGGACCAGCAUUUGCCUCAAAGAAAAGCUCUACAUUCUCACAAGAUGCCGCUGUGGAGGCUGGAGAUUGGUUUCCAGUCCCUGUUUUUAACACACCAGGAUUAUCUGGUUCAUAUAUGACAGGAGGGGGUCAGCAGAUGAGGAAUGAAAGCUUUUCACGUCUUCAAACAAUGGCAAGUAAAGCAGAGCGAAAAAAGCCAGAACACACUCUAGUGUCCAGUCUCUCCUCCAGACGGAUUGUUCUUCUGGGUAAAUCUGGUGUUGGUAAAAGUACAGUUGGAAACACAAUCCUGGGACAGAAAAAGUUCUCAUGUCAGAUAAGGAGCCAUUCAGUAACGCGUGUUUGUUCAGCAGCUCAGGCCACAGUUUCAGGCAGAUCUGUGUCUGUAGUCGACACUCCGGGAUUCUUUCACACACAUAUGAACAACAAUGAGUUAAUGAUGGAGAUCCGCAGAAGUGUGUAUAUCUCCAGUCCUGGACCUCACGCUUUCCUCAUUGUGCUGCGUGCAAAUGACAGAUUCACUGAACUGGAGCAACAGACUCUUCAGAAGAUUGAGCUGAUGUUUGGUAAGGAUGUGUUGAAUUACUGCAUCAUUCUCUUCACUCAUGGAGAUCUGCU